AGAGUUUGAUCCUGGCUCAGGAUGAACGCUGGCGGCGUGUUUAACACAUGCAAGUCGAGCGAGAAGCUCUCGAGUUGAUUCUUCGGAUGAAACAUGAGAGUGGAAAGCGGCGGACGGGUGAGUAACGCGUAGGCAACCUGCCCCUUGCAGAGGGAUAGCCUCGGGAAACCGGGAUUAAAACCUCAUAAUGCGGCACUGUGACAUCGCAGAGCCGCCAAAGAUUUAUCGGCAAGGGAUGGGCCUGCGUCUGAUUAGCUAGUUGGUGGGGUAACGGCCUACCAAGGCAACGAUCAGUAGCCGACCUGAGAGGGUGAUCGGCCACAUUGGAACUGAGACACGGUCCAAACUCCUACGGGAGGCAGCAGUGGAGAAUCUUGCACAAUGGGGGAAACCCUGAUGCAGCAACGCCGCGUGAGCGAUGAAGGCCUUUGGGUCGUAAAGCUCUGUCCUUGGGGAAGAAGAUCUGACGGUACCCUUGGAGGAAGCCCCGGCUAACUACGUGCCAGCAGCCGCGGUAAUACGUAGGGGGCGAGCGUUAUCCGGAAUUACUGGGCGUAAAGAGUACGUAGGCGGUCCUGUAAGCGCAUGGUGAAAGGCAUAGGCUUAACCAAUGUGAGCCGUGCGAACUGCAGGACUUGAGUGCAGGAGAGGAAAGCGGAAUUCCUGGUGUAGCGGUGAAAUGCGUAGAUAUCAGGAGGAACACCGGUGGCGAAGGCGGCUUUCUGGACUGUAACUGACGCUGAGGUACGAAAGCGUGGGGAGCAAACAGGAUUAGAUACCCUGGUAGUCCACGCCGUAAACGAUGAGUAUUAGGUGUUGGGGAUAAAACCUCGGUGCCGCAGUUAACGCAAUAAAUACUCCGCCUGGGGAGUACGCACGCAAGUGUGAAACUCAAAGGAAUUGACGGGGACCCGCACAAGCAGCGGAGCAUGUGGUUUAAUUCGAAGCAACGCGAAGAACCUUACCAGGGCUUGACAUCCUCCUGACAAUACCGGUAAUGCGGUACUUCUUCGGACAGUAGAGACAGGUGGUGCAUGGUUGUCGUCAGCUCGUGUCGUGAGAUGUUGGGUUAAGUCCCGCAACGAGCGCAACCCUUGUCAUUAGUUGCCAUCAGGUGAUGCUGGGCACUCCAGGGACACUGCCAUCGCAAGAUGUGAGGAAGGUGGGGAUGACGUCAAAUCAGCACGGCCCUUACGUCCGGGGCUACACACGUGUUACAAUGGGCGGUACAGAGGGCAGCCACCUGGCGACAGGGCGCUAAUCCUUAAAACCGUUCUCAGUUCGGAUCGGAGUCUGCAACCCGACUCCGUGAAGCUGGAUUCGCUAGUAAUCGCGCAUCAGCCAUGGCGCGGUGAAUACGUUCCCGGGCCUUGUACACACCGCCCGUCA
This 1389-nucleotide ribosomal RNA is filed under the name uncultured bacterium. RNAcentral describes it as "partial 16S ribosomal RNA". It matches the Rfam family "Bacterial small subunit ribosomal RNA". The record is from RNAcentral.